GAGAGGGUUGUAUUCCUUCCCCAUUUCCUCCGCGGACUGGGCUUCCCACUCCAUCCCUUUGUCCGGGGGCUCAUGUUCUACUACGGCCUGGAUUUCCAUGAUUUGGCCCCGAAUUUCAUCCUCAACAUCUCGGCAUUUAUCGUCGUGUGUGAGGCCUUCCUCUGCAUCCAGCCCCACUUCGGCUUGUGGCUCAAGACCUUCAGUGUGAAGCCGAAGGUUGUGAAGGGCAGCCAAGCGGAGUGCAGAGGCGCCAUGGUGGGCAGGAUGUCCCACGUUACUUGGCUUGAGGGCACUUUCGUGGAAACCAUCAAGGGGUGGCAAUCGGGGUGGUUCUACAUCACCGAGCCGCGUGACCCCGAAUGGGCAGCGGCCCCCGAAUUCAGAUCCGGCAUCCCCACACGGCUCACCUCUGGGAAAGAGAGCGGCCGGACAUGGGGUGAUUCGGAGGAGCUGACCGGACUCCAAGCUUGCAUCCAAAAGCUAGUGGACAAGAAGGUCAAGCUUGUCAACGUAGUCCAGGUCAUGCUCAUCCGCCAGAUUCUCCCGUGCCAACGACGGGGCUUCAACAUGUGGGAGUUCGAU
Molecule: ribosomal RNA, 582 nt
Filed under: Triticum aestivum (bread wheat)
Lineage: Eukaryota; Viridiplantae; Streptophyta; Magnoliopsida; Poales; Poaceae
Description: partial small subunit ribosomal RNA
Source: RNAcentral